This 496-nucleotide ribosomal RNA is filed under the name uncultured bacterium. RNAcentral describes it as "partial 16S ribosomal RNA". It matches the Rfam family "Bacterial small subunit ribosomal RNA", at positions 29 to 507 of the family's 1533-position model. The record is from RNAcentral.
AUGAACGCUGGCGGCGUGCCUAAUACAUGCAAGUCGAGCGAACGGACGAGAAGCUUGCUUCUCUGAUGUUAGCGGCGGACGGGUGAGUAACACGUGGAUAACCUACCUAUAAGACUGGGAUAACUUCGGGAAACCGGAGCUAAUACCGGAUGAUAUUUUGAACCGCAUGGUUCAAAAGUGAAAGACGGUCUUGCUGUCACUUAUAGAUGGAUCCGCGCUGCAUUAGCUAGUUGGUAAGGUAACGGCUUACCAAGGCAACGAUGCAUAGCCGACCUGAGAGGGUGAUCGGCCACACUGGAACUGGGACACGGUCCAGACUCCUACGGGAGGCAGCAGUAGGGAAUCUUCCGCAAUGGGCGAAAGCCUGACGGAGCAACGCCGCGUGAGUGAUGAAGGUCUUCGGAUCGUAAAACUCUGUUAUUAGGGAAGAACAUAUGUGUAAGUAACUGUGCACAUCUUGACGGUACCUAAUCAGAAAGCCACGGCUAACUACGUG